Molecule: ribosomal RNA, 167 nt
Filed under: Salmonella enterica subsp. enterica serovar Derby
Lineage: Bacteria; Pseudomonadati; Pseudomonadota; Gammaproteobacteria; Enterobacterales; Enterobacteriaceae
Also listed under: 3 other names
Description: partial 23S ribosomal RNA
Rfam family: Bacterial large subunit ribosomal RNA
Source: RNAcentral
GGUUAAGCGACUAAGCGUACACGGUGGAUGCCCUGGCAGUCAGAGGCGAUGAAGGGCGUGCUAAUCUGCGAUAAGCGCCGGUAAGGUGAUAUGAACCGUUAUAACCGGCGAUACCCGAAUGGGGAAACCCAGUGUGAUUCGUCACACUAUCAUUAACUGAAUCCAUA